CAGUGAUGUUUCCCUUCAUCUGGCAUUUUUAGAAGAAGAAUCUAUGGCUCUACUCACACUGUAACAGUAAGAGAAGAGCUUUAGAAAUGAGCCCAUUUUGGUCAUUCAUUUAUGCUGCCUCUCUUUUUCUAUGUGUGUGUGUGCAGGUGCCUGUGGAGGCCAGGUGCAGGUGUUGCAUCCCUCAGAGCAGGUGCCUGUGGAGGCCAGGUGCAGGUGUUGCAUCCCUCAGAGCAGGUGCCUGUGGAGGCCAGGUGCAGGUGUUGCAUCCCUCAGAGCAGGUGCCUGUGGAGGCCAGGUGCAGGUGUUGCAUCCCUCAGAGCAGGUGCCUGUGGAGGCCAGGUGCAGGUGUUGCAUCCCUCAGAGCAGGUGCCUGUGGAGGCCAGGUGCAGGUGUUGCAUCCCUCAGAGCAGGUGCCUGUGGAGGCCAGGUGCAGGUGUUGCAUCCCUCAGAGCAGGUGCCUGUGGAGGCCAGGUGCAGGUGUUGCAUCCCUCAGAGCAGGUGCCUGUGGAGGCCAGGUGCAGGUGUUGCAUCCCUCAGAGCAGGUGCCUGUGGAGGCCAGGUGCAGGUGUUGUAUCCCUUAGAGCUAG
This is a long non-coding RNA of Acomys russatus (golden spiny mouse), 587 nucleotides long. RefSeq lists it as uncharacterized. Lineage: Eukaryota; Metazoa; Chordata; Mammalia; Rodentia; Muridae. The transcript has 7 exons. The record is from RefSeq and is a predicted model, not a curated record.